GCUAACUUAUUAGCCUACUAAGGCAAUUAUCAACCUUCUCUUCAUUUGAUACUCCCGUAGCCCAUGUUCAAAAGAAAGAAAAAGAAGGAGAAAAGAGGGGGAUAGGAAGGAAAAGAGGGAAAGGAUAAGAGAGCAAUAAUUAUACUUUCUCCCACCUCUAUUUCUCCUACAACAAAAUCAGCAGAAAGAAAAGAAAGAAAAAGAGAGAGAAUGAAAGAGAAAGAAAGAAGAAGAUGAAACCAUGGAAGCAUGAAGGAAGAAUAAGAAAUCAAAAGGUAAAACCAAAAUUUUUCAUCUCUUUACUUUUCUUAAGAGUUUGAUUUGUUGAAAGUUGGGUUAUAGGGGAUCAUGAUGGAUCCAAAGUAAUAAGGAAGUAUAUGAUAAAUAUUUUAUGUUUAAUCUAUGUCAUAAUUGAAUUUAAGAUCAAAAAGUUAGGAAUGUGUUUGAGGAUGAAUAAAAGUUAUUUUGAGGACUUAAAUCAAACUUGUAAAAGUGUUGAUAGUUGAUUAAUGUGUAAUAUCUGAGGAGGAUGAUCUAUAGAUUAAGAAGUUAUGGAAAUAUUCCAAUUUGAACGGACUAAAAAUGAUUUAAAUCGAAGUAGUGGUGAAAGUUUUCGUAAACAUGUUAAACGAUGAAAAACUUAGUCUUGGGGGACUUUUGAGCAAAAUUUUUGAAUAAUUAAUGAAUCUGAAAAAUUAUGAAAUCAUGGAGGUUUUGUAGAGCAUGUUACAAUCUUUCCAUAACCUUGAAAAUGGACUAAUUCCGACUUAAAAUGAAGAAGUUAUAAAGAUUUGAAGUAUGUGCGUCAAAAGUUGCAAAAUCUAGAACAUUGGAGUUAAGUGCCAAGGGUCGAGCGCCUAAGCACUAGGCUCGGCGCUUAGAAUCUGUUCUAGGGCGCCUAGGCGCUUGCCCAAGGCCAAAUUUGGGCGCCUAGGCGCUGAUCUAGUGUUAAGCCAAAAUCUGUUCAGACGUCCUUUAGUAAAUUGGGCAUAACGUCUUCAUAUGAACUCCGAUUGAGGUGAUUCAGGAUGAUUUAAAAAGAUAACGAGUAGACCCAAAACUUUUAUUCUUUAUAUUUUGAGAUUUGAGGUAGUUAUCAAGGCCUAAAAUGGCUAUUUUAGUGACUAAUGUGCAUUUAGAGGCAAUCAGAGGACGUCGGGCAUGCACGUAUGCAACGUGUAAUGUUUUCGAUGAUAAAUGAUGUUGUUAUAAGUUGUAAAACAUGAAAAUUAUUAAAUAUAAUGAUAUUAUGCGAUGAAUAAAGACAACUUAAAUGAACAAUGAAUUAUUAGUUGGUGUAUAUGUUAUUCGAUAUAAUUAUGAUUUGAUGUUGAUCCUUACUUUUAAUAGAAUUUGAAUUGUUUAUAAGUAAGGUAUUAAUUUGAUUCUUACAUAAGAAGUCACUAUGUAUUUUAUUCAAUAAUUGUCACAGUAGUUAUUACACAGUGAUUCAUAUUAUUGAUUCUUAAUUAUGUAAGAAGUCACUCAGUCUUUUAUUCAAUAAUUGCCACAGUAGUUAUUGCACAGUGACUCAUAUUAUUUGAUAUGAUAUAAUUAAACCAGUUGGCAGUAUUGAGAGUAUAUGUUAAUAAUUGUGAAUAAUGGUUCAAAGAUUGAAAAUGGUGUUGAUUAAAGAUAAGUAUGAUAUACAGAUGGUUGUUCAAUUAUUUUCUUUUUUACAAAAGUAAGUUUGGCAGGACUUGCGAACACUCUACUUUUACUAAAGUAGUAUGGACCACAACUCUAUUAUUGAACAAAUUUUAUUAAAACGUGUACAAAGUUGGUUUAAUUUUCUCUGUUGGACCAUAAAUUCCACUACCAUUUUUAUAUACCUCAUUUGGUUAAUUUGUCAAAGCAGAUGUGCUUGUUUACUAAAUUUUUAGUAUAAAUAGGUUGCUCGGUUGAGUAACUAAACACACAUCAUCACUACACUAAAAGUAUAGAAUUCUUUUACUUCAAUAUUGUGAGUAUUUCUAUUGAGUUUAAUGUUACUCCAAGUGUAGAUAAGGAAUGCAAGCAUUGUUUAAGUUGAUUAAUUUCAUAGAAAGCAAAAUCAAGUCACAUGCUAAGGUAAGGGAUAUCAUUAUUAUGGUAAGAGGGUAUCAUUUCACUGUUGAUUUACUUGAUUAUAAAUAUGAAUUAUGAUUUAAUUAUAAUCUGUGGUGGUUCAGGUGAAAACAUGUGAUGAGAGUUCUCUUUGUCUUGGGUAUAACCAAGAACUGUUGAUGAGUAUUACAGGAAUGAAAUAUUAACGAUGGACUUUUAUUCUAGGGGAGAUAGUAGACAUUAUGUUCUACUUGAUUCUUCUAAUGGAUUGUUGAUUUCGCUGCUAUUAUGGUUGGAAACUUUUAUCUUCUACCAUAUGUUCUAAAUAUCUGAAUUAUUAUUGAUGAAGGCUAUUGAUAAUUUAAUUAUCUUAAGUCAUGAUAUUCUUUACUGGGCUAUUUGUGCUCACCCUUUUACUUCAGCACCCCUUUUAGGUAAUAAAAGUGUAGCUGAGACUAGCAGAGAGAACAUGAGUAUAAAGUGUUGAUACGAAUUAGUCACAAGCCUAAUCAAAUUAUGAAACGUGUGGCAUAAUAAUUGUACUGAGAACUUAAAAUGUGUGUGACAUAUUUUAUACAUCAUUUGAUAUUUAAUUUUGGUGAACAACAAUUGGGUGAGGUGAAUCAGAAUUUGGAAACGUCAAAAAUGCACUCCAUUAGAAUGAGGAGGACAGAAAUCUUCUCGUGUUCCUUUGGGGACUUGAAAUAUUUGCUGCUGUACUUUAGAUGGCAUUGUAAUAAUUUGAGUAUGAAUAUUGUCGUAUUAUAUACGUUACAAUAUUUGUAUUGAAACUCACAGUAUAUGUGUCGUCGUAUUUUGCACUACAGUUGUAUAAAUGAAGCUGUCAGUCAUGUAUUUUCUAGCGACCAAGGAUGGGUGGCGUAUACCUAUUUUGGGGGCAUCACAACAGGAUACUGGAAUAGUGAGGUAUCAGACUUCUCUUCUUCUUUCUCUCUAUAAUUUCUCUAUAAUAAUUACUCUUGUGAGACUUAGUGAAUUGGUGAGAAUGAAGGAAGAAUGAGCUUCUAUUUAUAGGAAAAUAUAGUUUCGAUAAUUGCACGUUUUGGGGCUCGAAAUAUUACAAUAUAAUACCUUUAUCUUUUCUUUCAUUUUUAAUUUAGUCCUACAAGUAUUAUCAAACUUGCACCACCUCACCUAAUAGUAAAUCAUGUGAAUCAAUAGUAAAUCAUGUGACUCAAUAGUUCUAAACAUGUGAAAAAAAUAAUUACAGUAUAGUACCUUCAUCUAUAAUUUAAUCAUGCAAGUAUUAUCAAUCUUGCACCACCUCCCCUAAUAGUACAUACAUGUGAACACAUAGUUAUAAGCAUGUGAAUCAAUAGCAAUUAAUUCCUCAUUUAUUCGAUUAAUUACCCGAUUGGUCAAUAUAACCUCUAGACAUCAAUUAUUAUCGAAAUAAAUGUCGAUUUCCACUAACACUAAUAAUUCCAACACAAUGGAACUAUUAAUUUCAUCAUUAAUCAACACGAACUUAUUCAUAAUUAAUAUUAUAAUUCACAAUAUUUAACAACCAGGUCGUUCCCAGGAAAGAGGGGGCUUUCCGAUAAGGAUUUCUCCUUAUUGGCGCGCAAUUAGGUGACCAAACCUCUCCUUGAUAGAACUUCUAGACAUUGUCAAUAUUGCAAAUAAUAAUAUGAAUAACUUUGUUGUCUCAAUUAUUGAUUUAAUAAUAUAAUAUAUUAUACAGUUGAUACUAUGACAAUAAUUGAAUCAAUAAUAUGAGAGUUAUGAUGCAGCAAUUACUGUAGCAAUAAUUGAGUAUAACUGAGUGACUUCUUACGUAAGCAUCAAUAAUCAAUACCGUGUGCUUCUAUGCAACCACACGUAUUACUGUACUUUUACUACCGGGUAGUUCAACAGUUUUAACGGUAACACUCGCCGUUAUUUUUAUAAAAUGAUAAUUUUAUCAUUUUCUAACUACGACAAUACUUCCGUUGUGGGGUCCACAUCGUCGUACGAAUAUUUCUUGUUAAAACGAAUAUUCCCCUACCAAUCGAAUAUUAUAUAACAACUUUCUUACUUUACAAAAUUUAUAAAUAUUACACACAACUAUAACAUUAUAUCAAAUCCACACUAUAAUAUUCAAAAAAAUAUUUCGAGAAAUUUAAAUCUUUAUUCAUAAAAUUUGGGGUCUCACAAUCUCCCCUCCUUAUGAAAUUUUGCCCUCGAAAUUUACGUACGUACCAGGUAUGCUGAAGAGAUGAGGAUACCUUGACUUCAUUUCAGAUUCUAACUCUUGAGGUAUAACCUUUGAGUGUCGAAUAUAAUCCUUCUUAUCCAAGAUUUUAACACGUAUCUCCUCAUAAAUUAAAUCUUUUUCUAUCUCGUCUAGUUCUAAUUCAAUAAUGUGGUUUGGGUCAUCCACAUAAUUAUGUAACAUCGAUACGUGAAAAACGUUAAGAACACACGACAUACUUGACGGUAAAACGAGUCUAUAGGCCACAGUUCCUACUCGAUCGAGGAUUUCAAAUGGGCCAAUUAAAUCGAGGGUUGAGAUUUCCUCUAUUCAUCGACUCUUGCUUCUAGAAUAACGCCUUCUUGAACCUUCUUCUUCAUAUUCAUCAGCUCCAGGUGUGUAGUUUGAGCAGCUUUAACUUUAUCGAUUAAAGUCCAUUCUACUCGUAUAUUCGUUAUCUUCACGUGGGUCUCUAGAGUCUUUAACUCUAUCUUCGUCAUUGUAAGUUAUACGAAAUGGGUUUUUGUGUUAACAAUAUUGCACUCGUAAACGCAUACGAUCUUCUACUCAACGCGUCAGCUACCACAUUCGUUCUUCCACAAUGAUAUUGAAUGGUAUAGUCGUAAUCUUCAACAGCUCGAGCCAACAUCUUUGGCGUAUUAUAUGUUUGUUUUGGUUGAAGAAAUAUUUAAGGGUUGAAGAAAUGGGUUUUAUACUGUGGUCAAUACAAAAUUCGAUUUCACGCUCUAGGGUAGGCGAGGAAGUUCUUCGAGAAUACGUCAGGAAAUUUAUUAACGAUAGAAAUAUCAUUCAAAACUGUGACUCUCAUCCAAGACUUGGAUAGGACAUGAAAUGAAGGUUUCUACUAACGGAGUUUCAACCGAUAAGUCAAAGACUAAUUUCUUCGAAGUCAAAUUUAAACUUUGAGCGCAAGCAAGAGAGACAAAAUAAUGGGUAGAACCGGUAUCUAAUAAGGUAUAGACUUCGCCAGAAUUUAUAAUUAACUAACCUGUACUAACUUCGUUCGGGUUACUCGCUUUUUGAGAAGUCACGAAAAACGUUCUUCCUAAAACCACCGACUUUGUUUUGUCCGUAUCCGCCUUUAGUGCCACCAUCCCAACUGGACUUGACUUUAGCGCACGACAAAAUCGGGCUAGGUGAUCUUCUUUUCCAUAAUUAUAACAUGCUUUAGACUGUAUCACACAGUUUGGAACGGGUGCUGGUGAUACUGUCUUUCCAUCAUUUAAAACAUACGACCGACGGUCGUUCUCCUUCCUUUGAAACGGGUGCUGGUGCUACUGUCUUUCCAUCAUUAUUGAACCUUCUCUUCUUGAAAUUUCCACUUCUAUUAUCUUGGCCAUGAUUACCACUGAAGUGGUUACCAUUUCUAGCAUGAUAAUUUCCUCCACGAUGGUUAUCGUUGUUCCGAUGGCCGUUGCCACCGGUACGAUUAUUAUCGUGUUGCUAGUCAUUACCUUUUGGUUGAGCUGACUCAACGGUCUCAUGUGCUUCAUUGCUUAUCUCAACAUUUUCAGAUGCCUUUCUCAAACACUAUCACAAAACAAGGGUUAAUUGACAUGUCACAUAUUAUCCCUAUACUCUGACCGACCAAUUAAAUACCAAGUAAACUUAGGUAGGUCAUACUAGCGAAAGAAUUCUCCGUCUCUCCCCUCCUAGUUCUUGUCUCACAUCUCAGCCAGGGAUCAUAUUCCUAAGCUUUGAUACCAAUUGUGACGCCCCCAAAAUAGGUAUACAUCACCCAUCUUGAGUAGCUAGAUACAUGGUACAUAAAUUCAAAUACAACUUAAUUAUACAACAGUCGUGUAAAAUACGACAAAAUAUAGCUGAGAGUUUAAACAAGAAUAUUGUCAUCU
This 6114-nucleotide long non-coding RNA is filed under the name Panax ginseng (ginseng). RNAcentral's name for it is "long non-coding RNA (PGIN_LNC004600)". The record is from RNAcentral. Lineage: Eukaryota; Viridiplantae; Streptophyta; Magnoliopsida; Apiales; Araliaceae.